GAAUGCUGACAUAAGUAACGAUAAAGCGGGUGAAAAGCCCGCUCGCCGGAAGACCAAGGGUUCCUGUCCAACGUUAAUCGGGGCAGGGUGAGUCGACCCCUAAGGCGAGGCCGAAAGGCGUAGUCGAUGGGAAACGGGUUAAUAUUCCCGUACUUGGUGUUACUGCGAAGGGGGGACGGAGAAGGCUAUGUUGGCCGGGCGACGGUUGUCCCGGUUUAAGCGUGUAGGUGUGUGUUCCAGGUAAAUCCGGUUCACUUUAACACUGAGGCGUGACGACGAGGCACUACGGUGCUGAAGCAACAAAUGCCCUGCUUCCAGGAAAAGCCUCUAAGCAUCAGGUAACAU
RNAcentral lists this ribosomal RNA (345 nucleotides) under Salmonella enterica subsp. enterica serovar Heidelberg. RNAcentral's name for it is "partial 23S ribosomal RNA". It matches the Rfam family "Bacterial large subunit ribosomal RNA", at positions 1292 to 1637 of the family's 2925-position model. Lineage: Bacteria; Pseudomonadati; Pseudomonadota; Gammaproteobacteria; Enterobacterales; Enterobacteriaceae. The record is from RNAcentral. RNAcentral also lists the same sequence under 5 other names.